CGAAUUUGAGAAUGAAAGCCAGCGUCGUCGAAAAGAAAAGAUGGGGUGUUCUUGCUUCGGAGGAAGAAACAAAAGGGAUGAUAAAGAAUACAAGAGCAGUGAAAGAUUAAAAGGCGCUGCUGCUGGUCACCAUGGAACUGGUGGAGGAGGAGGGGGCUGUGGCGGCGGUGGAUGUGGAGGAGGAGGUGGCUGUGGCGGUGGUGGAUGUGGUGGUGGAUGUGGUGGUUGAGGGUGCGGAGGUGGAGGCUGUGCUGGUGACUAGCUAUACUCAGGUUUCAUGGUGGAGAUAUGUGUCUGUUUAGUUUGUAUAUUUGUCUUUUAGUUCUUUAUUUGUAUUGUCUGUUUAGUUUGGUUUGUAUUUUAUACUUGACUUAAUAUUAACGUUGGUGUCGUUAACUUUGUUCGGUGUGAGAUUUAUUUUUUUUAAAAAAUCAAUAUAAUAUUUAAUUUCAUAAUUUAGGUUCAAUUUAA
Vigna angularis (adzuki bean) is the source of this 471-nucleotide long non-coding RNA. RefSeq lists it as uncharacterized. The record is from RefSeq and is a predicted model, not a curated record. The transcript is spliced from 2 exons. NCBI's taxonomy places the organism in Eukaryota, Viridiplantae, Streptophyta, Magnoliopsida, Fabales, Fabaceae.